Molecule: ribosomal RNA, 253 nt
Filed under: uncultured bacterium
Lineage: Bacteria
Description: partial 16S ribosomal RNA
Rfam family: Bacterial small subunit ribosomal RNA
Source: RNAcentral
UACGAAGGGGGCUAGCGUUGCUCGGAAUCACUGGGCGUAAAGGGUGCGUAGGCGGGUCUUUAAGUCAGGGGUGAAAUCCUGGAGCUCAACUCCAGAACUGCCUUUGAUACUGAGAAGCUUGAGUCCGGGAGAGGUGAGUGGAACUGCGAGUGUAGAGGUGAAAUUCGUAGAUAUUCGCAAGAACACCAGUGGCGAAGGCGGCUCACUGGCCCGGUACUGACGCUGAGAUGCGAAAGCGUGGGGAGCAAACAGG